CAGUCGCCGCGGGAAUACGUAGGUGGCAAGCGUUGUCCGGAAUUAUUGGGCGUAAAGGGCUCGCAGGCGGUUUCUUAAGUCUGAUGUGGAAGCCCCCGGCUCAACCGGGGAGGGUCAUUGAAACUGGGAAACUUGAGUGCAGAAGAGGAGAGUGGAAUUCCACGUGUAGCGGUGAAAUGUGUAGAGAUGUGGAGGAACACCAGUGGCGAAGGCGACUCUCUGGUCUGUAACUGGCGCUGAGGAGCGAAAGCGUGGGGAGCGAACAGGAUUAGAUACCCCAGUAGUCCCUGUCUCUUAUACC
This 301-nucleotide ribosomal RNA is filed under the name uncultured bacterium. RNAcentral's name for it is "partial 16S ribosomal RNA". It matches the Rfam family "Bacterial small subunit ribosomal RNA", at positions 509 to 808 of the family's 1533-position model. The record is from RNAcentral.